RNAcentral lists this long non-coding RNA (519 nucleotides) under Homo sapiens (human). RNAcentral's name for it is "non-protein coding lnc-FSIP1-4:20". The record is from RNAcentral. Lineage: Eukaryota; Metazoa; Chordata; Mammalia; Primates; Hominidae.
GUAGUCUUUGUUCUCAUUUAAACACUGAAUGGCCAUUGACUUCUUUUGAAAAAGAAAAAGAAAAAUGGUGAAGAAACUGAGGCUAAGAAAGACUUAUUGACAUAUUCAAGGUCAGAGAACAGAUAAAUGGUAAAGAUAUAUUUUUAUAGGAAGGAGAAUACUCCUAUUAUUCAGCUCUAUAAAGGAAAAUUCUGACACAUGCUACAACAUGGAUGAAUGUUGAAGACAUUAUGCUAAGUGAAAUAAGACAGACAUAAAGGACAAAUACUGUAUGAUUCUACAUAUGUGAGGUACAUAGGGUAGUCCAGUUUUAUAGGAACAGAAAGUAGAAUAAAUGUUGGCAGGGGCUGGGAGCAGAGGGAAAUGUGAAGUUAUUGUUUAGUAGGCACAGGGUUUCAAUUUAGAAAGAUGAAAAGUUCUGGACAUAGAUAGUGGUGAUGUUUAUACAACAAUGUAAAUGUACUUAAUUCUUCUGGACUGCAUACUUUUAAGUGGCAAAAAUGUAAUUGUAAUGUUAUG